RNAcentral lists this long non-coding RNA (431 nucleotides) under Physcomitrium patens. Its description in RNAcentral is "long non-coding RNA (PPAT_LNC000543)". Lineage: Eukaryota; Viridiplantae; Streptophyta; Bryopsida; Funariales; Funariaceae. The record is from RNAcentral.
UACCAUCUUCCCGACCUCCGGGCCAAUUAUUUACCUUCGAACAAUUGAAGAAAUUGCACUACUUGCAUGCUGCAUUACACGAAUCCCUCCGCCUUUUCCCGCCUGUACCAUGGGAUUCAAAGCAUGCGGUCCGAGACGACGUCUUACCUGAUGGCACCGUCAUACUCAAAGGUGAGCGCGUCACUUUCAAUAUUUACGCCAUGGCUCGAAUGGAAGCCAACUGGGGCCCUGACUGCAAUGAGUUCAAGCCUGAGAGAUGGUUGAAGGAUGGAGUCUUUGUACCUGAGAGUCCUUUCAAGUUUGCAACCUUCCAGGCUGGUCCUCGCAUAUGCCUCGGCAAGGAAAUGGCCCUUAUCCAAAUGAAGCUGGUUGCGUCGAGUUUGGUAUACUGCUUCAAGUUUACUCUGCUCGAGGAUCCUCCUAGAACAUGU